CAAGGAUUCCCCUAGUAACUGCGAGUGAAGCGGGAAAAGCUCAAAUUUAAAAUCUGGCGGUCUUUGGCUGUCCGAGUUGUAAUCUAGAGAAGUGUUAUCCGCGCUGGACCGUGUACAAGUCUCCUGGAAUGGAGCGUCAUAGAGGGUGAGAAUCCCGUCUUUGACACGGACUACCAGGGCUUUGUGAUGCGCUCUCAAAGAGUCGAGUUGUUUGGGAAUGCAGCUCAAAAUGGGUGGUAAAUUCCAUCUAAAGCUAAAUAUUGGCGAGAGACCGAUAGCGAACAAGUACCGUGAGGGAAAGAUGAAAAGAACUUUGGAAAGAGAGUUAAACAGUACGUGAAAUUGCUGAAAGGGAAACGCUUGAAGUCAGUCGCGUUAUCCAGAGAUCAGCCUUGCUUUUGCUUGGUGCACUUUCUGGUUGACGGGUCAGCAUCAAUUUUGACUAUUGGAAAAAGGUUAGGGGAAUGUGGCAUCUUCGGAUGUGUUAUAGCCCUUGAUUGUAUACAAUGGUUGGGAUUGAGGAACUCAGCACGCCGAAAGGCCGGGUUUAGACCACGUAACCGUGCUUAGGAUGCUGGCAUAAUGGCUUUAAUCGACCCGUCUUGAAACACGGACCAAGGAGUCUAACAUACCUGCGAGUGUUUGGGUGGAAAACCCGAGCGCGUAAUGAAAGUGAAAGUUGAGAUCCCUGUCGUGGGGAGCAUCGACGCCCAGACCAGACCUUUUGUGACGGUUCUGCGGUAGAGCAUGUAUGUUGGGACCCGAAAGAUGGUGAACUAUGCCUGAAUAGGGUGAAGCCAGAGGAAACUCUGGUGGAGGCUCGUAGCGAUUCUGACGUGCAAAUCGAUCGUCAAAUUUGGGUAUAGGGGCG
Molecule: ribosomal RNA, 871 nt
Filed under: Cortinarius globuliformis
Lineage: Eukaryota; Fungi; Basidiomycota; Agaricomycetes; Agaricales; Cortinariaceae
Description: LSU rRNA
Rfam family: Eukaryotic large subunit ribosomal RNA
Source: RNAcentral